UACGUAGGCAGCAAGCGUUGUUCGGAAUUACUGGGCGUAAAGAGUGUGUAGGCGGUGCUCCAAGUCUGGUGUGAAAUCUCCCGGCUUAACUGGGAGGGUGCAUUAGAAACUGGAAUGCUAGAGGAUGGGAGAGGUACACGGAAUUCCGGGUGGAGUGGUGAAAUGCGUAGAGAUCCGGAGGAACACCGAAGGCGAAGGCAGUGUCCUGGCGCGUAACUGACGCUGAGGUGCGAAAGCCAGGGGAGCGAACGGG
This 253-nucleotide ribosomal RNA is filed under the name uncultured bacterium. RNAcentral describes it as "partial 16S ribosomal RNA". It matches the Rfam family "Bacterial small subunit ribosomal RNA", at positions 524 to 776 of the family's 1533-position model. The record is from RNAcentral.